RNAcentral lists this ribosomal RNA (470 nucleotides) under uncultured organism. Its description in RNAcentral is "partial 16S ribosomal RNA". It matches the Rfam family "Bacterial small subunit ribosomal RNA", at positions 335 to 797 of the family's 1533-position model. The record is from RNAcentral.
ACUCUGCGGGAGGCAGCAGUGGGGAAUUUUGGACAAUGGGCGCAAGCCUGAUCCAGCCAUGCCGCGUGCGGGAAGAAGGCCUUCGGGUUGUAAACCGCUUUUGUCAGGGAAGAAAAGGUUCUGGCUAAUACCUGGGACUCAUGACGGUACCUGAAGAAUAAGCACCGGCUAACUACGUGCCAGCAGCCGCGGUAAUACGUAGGGUGCAAGCGUUAAUCGGAAUUACUGGGCGUAAAGCGUGCGCAGGCGGUUAUGCAAGACAGAGGUGAAAUCCCCGGGCUCAACCUGGGAACUGCCUUUGUGACUGCAUGGCUAGAGUACGGUAGAGGGGGAUGGAAUUCCGCGUGUAGCAGUGAAAUGCGUAGAUAUGCGGAGGAACACCGAUGGCGAAGGCAAUCCCCUGGACCUGUACUGACGCUCAUGCACGAAAGCGUGGGGAGCAAACAGGAUUAGAUACCCCAGUAGUCCCA